AAUGAAUGAAGGUAAUAAAGAAUGUGUCUGACCACCUACAGGAUGACCUCAGAAUGUGAGAUUUUAAAUCCAAUGCAAAGGCUGGAGUUUCCCCAUUUGUAUAAUGCACAUCUGCAGGCUGCUGUCUCUCCAAGCGGGAUCUGCCUCUUAUUGACAGAAGCAAUAAUCCUAAUUUUGUGCGGGACAUUUUGAGGACUGUGAAAGCUGACAAACCGGGAACACUCGUGUAAACUUAUAAGCAGCAGGGUGUAUGUCUUGUGUGUGGCAAAUGUGGCAUGUGGAAGGAAGGGAUGGUACUUCAAAAAGACCUAAUUUUUAUACACGUAAUGGCGCUAGAAGAGUAUAAGGGCAACUACAGCGAAAAAGAUACUGAUUUGGUACAGCUUCUGUAACAACACCUUUGUUAAAUAAACCAUGUGCGCUGAAGGACCUUUAAAACAAAGCAACCAAUUUUGUAUCCAUCUUAAUUUUAUCAGAGACAUCAGGUACACAUAACCAACCUUCUCUCAGAAUGGGUACAGACAGUGCUGCAUUCAUCAGUUCAGCCAUAAACAAAGACCAGCUAGACACUCCAAGAAACCUACUUGAACCAUGUCCUCAGAAUUUGAUUUCUUUAAAUUAAAACUGAAUUUAUUUUGGAAUAUGAACACCGAACAUAGAAUGGAUGUUUAUGAGUUUUAGUUAAGAUUGUAACUAAAUGUUCCGGUAUUAAGGUGAACAUUUUAAAAUGUUUUAAAAAUGCAGAUAUUAAGUUUACAGCAGUGCAUUUCAUAUAGGGUAAUAAUCUGCAGUAAUAGAUCUUAAGCCUUAUUUGUGUGCUAAUUACAAUACAGUGUGCACUGACCAUAAUUCAGAAUGCAGUAUGGCCCAUUUAAUAAAUGCGGUGUUUCACUGUCCCUUUACAUAUGAA
Long non-coding RNA from Protopterus annectens (West African lungfish), 910 nucleotides. RefSeq lists it as uncharacterized. The record is from RefSeq and is a predicted model, not a curated record. Lineage: Eukaryota; Metazoa; Chordata; Ceratodontiformes; Protopteridae. The transcript has 3 exons.